UGACCUUACAUGAAGUUGAAUUGAACAUAGGUACAGUUAGCUGCAAAAAGUAUGUAUCGAAAGAAUUGUACUUGGUACUACACUCUUAUUACGCUGCGGGCUUAGCAUGGUCUUAGUUAUCACGCGAUAUGGUGACAAUCUUGUUGUUAAAAUGACAGUUUUUUCUUCGAUUUUAUCGUUCACACUACGGUUGCAGACGAUAAUAGGAGUUAUCCACAUUUGACAGCGAUAGAUGACAAUCGACAAUUUGCAUAACAUGGUCGUCGGAUAAUUUGACACAUUAUCCCAUUUUGGCAGUUCAAUAUAGUUAAUUUUAUCUACGUGCUUCUUAGGUCACGACAAGCGUUGUCGUGGAUGCAAAGCUCAUGAAAAAACCUAUGUUAAGGUAUAAAUUAUCACUCGCAACUGCUGCAGAGGAAAAAGAAAGAAGAAGGAUUCAGCGACGAUCUUUGAGGGACGCUGCAAACCCCUUUGAUAUGCCGGACGAAGAGUUCCGUCAUAUAGACAGAGUACGAAAGGAGUUAGUGUUAUAUAUUUGUGAAGAACUCAACGCCGACCUCCAGCCUCACAAGGGUGAUGAAUUGCCAUCUCACCUUAAGACUUAAAGACCAAUGGAUAAUAGUUUUUCCUGGAACUGAUCGGUCCCGACGAUCAGUUGCCUCAGGAUUUGAGGAUGCAUAUGGUCUGCCAAAUAUCUUGGGUGUAGUAGACUGCACUCAAGUGAAAAUAUUUCCCACCUGUGCCACACGGAGUGCAAUAUCUGAAUCGGAAAGGCGUUCACGCUCUUAAUGUACAGCUAGUAAGUUUCAAUUUUAGUUACAAAUAAUGAUUUUUUUAUAUUAAUCAUAAAAUCCUCAUCACUGACCACAAUGUAUGUAUAUUAUAAUUAAAUAAAGAAAUAUAAAUACUAUGGGACAAUCUAACACAAAUCGACUAAGAUAAUGAUGUACCUAAUCUAGAUUGAUUAUAAUAAUUCAUUAAAAUAAUAACUUAUAUGUUACUACUUGGUUGUCACCAAUUCUCAAAUAAGAAUAUAAAUAACCUUAUAUCUUCAGAUUGCAGAUGUCAACUGUAAGAUCUUGGCAGUAAACACGAGGUUUCCUGGCCGUGUGCACGACUCUUUCAUAUUUAACAAUUCGUCCAUUUAGGAUGAAUUAAGAAGAUUGUACAAUGGCCACAUUGGGGAGUAUUUCCUUCUGGGUAAGCAGAAAAUUGUGUAUCUGUACCUAGUGUAAAUUUAUUCGAUGGGGAGACGUGACGUACGCGUUUGCGUUAACUGUCAUUUUGUAUGGAAUUUUGAGUUUCCAAAACAUCCCGCUUGGCGCGCUGUUUCUAAAUCCCUUAGCACCACUUGCACCAUUUCACUAACUCGGGGUUAACUGGUUAACCCUGGAGUUACCAUGUUACCAGUACAAUUUCACAUUGGGUUAACGGUUUAACCGGUUAACCCCGGGUUAUUGGAAUGGGGCAAGUGCAUGUUAGUAAAUGUACUAAGAUCACGACCACAGAAUAAAUAGUUCAUGACUAAGUUAAUAUACCUAUCAUAAUGUAAAUAACCGGCCAAGAGCAUGUCGGGCCACGCUCAGUGUAGGGUUCCGUAGUUACUCUUCCGUCACAAUAAGCUAAACUGGAGCUUAAAGUGUAGUAAAUGGUACCUUUCACCCGAGUUAAACAAAUAGGCAAAUUUGCAUAAUCAGUACCUAAUUAAAGAAGUCUUUUUACUAUGAAGGGAAAACUUUUUGCGAUAACUCAAAAACAGCUAAACUGAUCAUGUCCGCUAUAGUUUUCAUUUAAUGUCUUUCUUAAGCUCUACUUCCACGAUUUUUUUCAUAUUUUUUGACCUAUGGUUCAAAAGUUAGAGGGGGGGGACACAUUUUUUUUUCUUUCGGAGCGAUUAUCUCCGAAUAUAUUCACUUUAUCAAAAAAUGUUUCUUGAAAACCCCUAUUAGUUUUGAAAGACCUUUCCAACGAUACCCCACACUUUAGGGUUGAAGCGAAAAAAAAAAAUUCACCCCCACUUUACGUGUAGGGGAGGUACCCUAAAAAAAAUUAAAAUUUUAGAUUUUAUUGUACGACUUUGUCGGCUUUAUUGAUUUAUAUAUCCAUGCCAAAUUUCAGCUUUCUAACACUAACGACCACGGAGCAAAGCCUCGGACAGACAGACAGACAGACAGACAGACAGACAGACGGACACGGCGAAACUAUAAGGGUUCCGUUUUAUGCCAUUUGGCUACGGAACCCUAAAAAGGCAUAAGCAAGGGGGAAGUUUCGUUAGUUGUUCAGAUGAUUAAGUAUUAUGUAACCAAAAAAUAAUAAUUUCAGGUGACUCGGGUAUGCUCUUGAGCCAUGGCUCAUGACGCCAGUGCUGAAUCCUGCCCCGGGAAGCCCAGAAGCAAGGUACACGGUCUGGCACUGUCGCGUGCGCAACACGAUCAAGCGUACCAAUGGGUACCUCAAAAACGUAUUCCGGUGCCUGGGCCACGACCGCGUCUUACACUACAGCCCGACGAAGGCAUCGUCAAUAAUAAAUGCAUGUUGCGUAGUAUACAACAUAAUGCAACAUUAUAGAAAUGUUCCCGAGGAAAUCGUAGGAGAUAUUGAUGAAGACGCUCCUCAAGAACUUCCUCAUCGUCAUGCGCAAAACGGACUACUAUUAAGAGUGGCGCAGGAAAAGCGUGCGCGUCUAAUAAAUACAUAUUUUGCUUA
Long non-coding RNA from Cydia pomonella (codling moth), 2706 nucleotides. RefSeq lists it as uncharacterized. NCBI's taxonomy places the organism in Eukaryota, Metazoa, Arthropoda, Insecta, Lepidoptera, Tortricidae. The transcript has 4 exons. The record is from RefSeq and is a predicted model, not a curated record.